GGGGGGGGGCGGGAGGAGACCAGCAGGUGCCGGGGCUCUAGCCCCUACCCCCACCCUCAUCUUCACUCUCACCCACACCCGGGGAUUGGCCUCGCCCCCUAGCGGGCGAGCGCUAGGUGUAGGGACUCCCGGGCUGGGGGCGCACACCCGCGGGCGGCGGAAAAGAGGCGGCUGGGGCCUCCCCGCCCGGCGCACACUCGGAGGCCGGCACUCGCCCGUGCGCACCGCCGGUCCGCAGCCCCGAGGAACAUGUCCGCGGCCAGGGCGCGGAGCAGAGCCCCGGGGAGGAGAACCGGGGGAGGGCGUGUGCAGUGGCGGCGGCGGCCGCGGAGCCGCUAGUCCCCUCCCUCCUCGGGGAGCAGCUGCCGCCGCCGCCGCCACCCUCAGCGCGCGGGCCGCGGCCGGAGCGGGCGGGCGGGCGG
RNAcentral lists this long non-coding RNA (422 nucleotides) under Marmota monax (woodchuck). Lineage: Eukaryota; Metazoa; Chordata; Mammalia; Rodentia; Sciuridae. The record is from RNAcentral.